GAGGCAUAUCUCCGGGGUAUGCGCUCCGGUUUUCUGCGACCGUGUGGGCUCGGUGGGCGGGACCGGCAAAUCCAGGGACUCGCGAAACACGGUUCCGGACCAGUACUCUCUCCCUAUCUCGGGUUCCGGCCUUCGUCCCGCAGGACUCCUCACAUCUUAUGCCUGCUUAGCCCGCUAUCCUGUCCCACGCGCUUCUUCCCCUGGUAACAGUCCUGUGAGCUCUGCAGGCAAGGAGGGGCUAAUGAGCCCCAUUUCCGGCUGAGGAAACUCAAGCACCUUGCGAGGGACUGAACUGUGUUGUGUGUGUGUUUCUGGUAUCUGGUAUCUUCCUUUGGGUUUUUCCUCUAUAUUAAACAAUUGAAAAAAAGCUCUGUUCCCCCCCUCCCCAUCCCAUCUAAAACCCGUGCCUCCGAAACCCUCGUUCUGGGCAUCCGGGAAACCCCAUUUUGCUCCCAAAACGCUUGUCCCAUUCCACAGCAGGGCCCUCUCCACCGCCCAAGGAACAACAGGGAGCCAACUCCUUGAAGACAGUGAUUUAAUUUCCUCUCCAACAACAAAGCCCCCCAGGGCCAGAAGGCACCCCUGCCCUCCCCGAAUCAACCAGUUCUGCUCUGUGGAAUGGCAACGAAUAGCUGAAUGGUUACCUCAUUUAGAGCCUGUUUGCUUUUUUUUUUUUUUUUUUGCGGUAUGCGGACCUCUCACUGUUGUGGCCUCUCCCGUUGCGGAGCACAGGCUCCGGACGCGCAGGCUCAGCGGUCAUGGCUCACGGGCCCAGCCGCUCCGCGGCAUGUGGGAUCUUCCCGGACCGGGGCACGAACCCGUGUCCCCUGUAUCGGCAGGCGGAUUCUCAACCACUGCGCCACCAGGCUUAAAUAUUUAAGAAAUGUAUAAAUGGCUGAAAAUCUACAAAAGAACUCUAAAAAACUUCGGGAAAAUGCUAAUGAAACACGAGAAGAAAAAGGCAUUCCUGGAUGACUGAAAACAAGGAAGCAAUUUUCGACUUCCCCUUUACGUUCAGAAGCAUCAACAACAUACAAGUCUGUCCACACAGGCCUUGACUGCACAGCAAGCUUCAAAAAAUGUUUGUCACCAGAGCAAGAUAAUUUUUGCAACUUGUGAUAAUAAGAAGCUGGUUUGAUGAAAACCUUGCAGUUGUGAAAAAAAAUGAUUUUUUGAAAUUUGUGGUUGAUAAAAAUGGUUUCUCACAUAGUUGUUUACUGUAUCCCCGUUAUCUUGCCUUGGUUUCCAUGAUCUACCACCCAUAGCCCCCAAACCAAAUAUUUUAUUUAAGAUCUAAAUGUUUGUUUAUUUGCUUAUCUAAUUCUUGGCCAUAGACCCAAUUUCUGCAUCAUCCUGGUCAGGAUUCUGUGUGGAUCCUAGGCUUGCUUCCUGUAAGUUAUCUCUAACUUCCAAACAGCCUAUAAAAGCAAAAAGGUACGAUCCCUACCCUACCCAAGCACUCUCCUAUUUUUCAUGGCUGGAACACUGUAUUAUUUAUUCAAACCUGUGUCAUUCAUUUAUUCCAUUCGUUCAUUCAAAAACACUUAGCUGUUGCACAACCAGAACUGAACUAGGUCUAAUUUUAGUCUUUGCCCUUGAAGUUCUCAGAAUUUCAUUAGAGAUACCAACAGAUAACCAACUCAGGAAGGUGUAGAUUUCUGUGGUAAAUGCCGUAUUUUGUAAUGUGAACACAGAUGAGAUAUCAACACCCAGGAGGUGCGGGUGACUAAUCCGUGAGCAAGGCCCUCUAAAAUAUAUGGGGUUAUUUAAUCUGCACACUGACCUUAAAAGGAAAGGACUUUUAUUGUCGUGUUUAUCAGAUGAGGAAGCUGAGGCUUUGGGAGGUUCAGAACUUUCCAGGCCCCAGAUAACAGGCAGCGAGACAUGGCUUAGAGACCCAGUCCCUGUGCUCUUUAUCCUGCCAACCUGGAAGGAUGGAUCAUGCAAAGGAGGAGUUUUCUUCGCCCCCUCGGGGACUGGCAAGGGGACUCGCUGAGCUCCCAGCAAUGUCCGGCCCCCGGGGCGAGAGCUGGCGUCUGGAUAGGGGGACCAGAUCCACGCGAGGGCUCUCAGUCCUUCCGCCUCGUCUUUCCUUGGUUCUGCCCCCAGGCCUUCUGUUGACCUGGGUUUGCAACCUGAGACUCCUCAUUUCCAGAUCCGGACUACAAGGGUCUUCCUUUGGGGGCGCAGGUCCCUCGGAGGAAGGACCCGCCCCUGCUGUUAGCGGCCGCCCAGAAGAAAGCACGCCUUUUUUAUCCUGAAAUGAAAUUUGUCAUUAGUUAAAACGCUCGUCCGGGCUUCCCUGCUGGCGCAGUGGUUAAGAAUCCACCUGCCAAUGCAGGGGAAAGGGUUCAAGCCCUGGUCUGGGAAGAUCCCACAUGCCGCGGAGCAAGUAAGCCCGUGCGCCACAACUACUGAGCCUGCGCUCUAGAGCACUCAAGCCACAACUACUGAACCCACGUGCCACAACUACUGAAGCCCGCGCGCCUAGAGCCCGUGCUCUGCAACAAGGGAAGCCACCGCAAUGAGAAGCCCACGCACAGCACCACCCAAUGCAGCCAAAAAUAAAUAAUUUUAAAAAAACAACCGCUCCUCACGGACAGUAUUUAAACGAAGUGCUAACUGCAACACAAUCAGAACUAGAAGGAAAGUAAUUUACAACACCAUAGUGAGAACUUCGACAUGUCGCAGCCGGGGAAGAUCGCCCGGAAGGCGCAGGGGCGAGCCGAGCUGCAGGGGUCGGGGUGGGAGCUGGCAUUCCCGGGAAAGUCCGCGAAGGUUCCCCCGCAGAAGUACUCUGCUCGUUAGUGCAGUGCAGGGAAGUGAUGGCUCAGACCCUCAUUCACAGGCUCUCCACUUUCGGGAGGGUCGCGAGCUCCUCGCAACCAUGCACCCCAUCACUGUGAGCCCCCAAUCUCGCCCGCGGUGACCGGUGUGUCCCGGAGGAGCGGACCCGGCUGAGAGCACGGAGAUGGGGGGGCUUGGGCGUAGGAGGGUGCAGGCGCGGCUCCGGGUACAGUUGCCUCUGAGGGGCGAGGGAAGGGCGCUCGUGGAGCCCCAGAACUGACCGGGAGGAGGAAGCCCCUUUCCCGGGUCUCCGGAACCGGGAGAACGCCGCUCAGGCACAAAUCAGGUCCUGGGUUACACAUGCCAGCUUGGGCGCACCUGUUUAGAAAACGCAUUUUGAGCUCCAUUCGAGUAAGACACACCAGAGCCCAUUCAUUCAUGAUUUGGGCAUUGUCUGAAUGUUAUCUUUAUAUUGUGAAAAUAGUACCUGCUCAUUGUUAAACAGUUCAAAAGCAUAGAAAGAGGUAAAAGUCACCCGUAAUCAAUCCCUACACCCUUAGAAGAUCACUGUAAAUAUUUUGGAAUUCACCCUUUGAAACUUUUUUCCUAAGCAUAUUUCCUAGGUAGUAUAUACACACAACACGUAACACAGUGGUAUUAAACCAUAGCAUGCUUUUCUAACCGGCUUUCCCCCCACCACACACUUAAUAUAUUAUGGUCUAUUUUCCAUGUUGAUGUAGAUUUACACAUUCUAUUUUUUAUAUAUACAGUAUAUUUGUAUGUUUUUAUAGGUGUGUGAUGACCAAAACAUGAGUGUAAGAUUUAUGUAGUAUUAUUUUUGGUAAACAUACUGGAAAUACGUGGGUGCCCCACAAGACUCUUUUACGAAAACUUUAUGGUUUGUGUAUCAUUUUAAAAUAUCUUCACAGACCUAUGGCUCAGCUUAUCCCAAUGAUCAUAAUUAUCUUUUCACGAAUAAUCUGCCAUCCACUCUAGCAGUGGGUGUCUUCUCUGUGUGGCCUCUUUCCACCUUCUAUAACAUCACCCGAGACAGGCUAAUAGUGGCUCCCUCUCUUUUUUUUUAAUUAAUUAAUUUUAUUUAUUUAUUUUUGGAUCUGUUGGGUCUUCAUUGCUGUGCGCGGGCUUUCUCUAGUUGCGGCAAGCGGGAGCUACUCUUCCUUGCGCUGCACAGGCUUCUCAUUUCGGUGGCUUCCCUUGUUGCGGAGCAUGGGCUCUAGGCUCAUGGGCUUUGGUAGUUGCAGCACACGGGCUCAGUAGUUGUGGCACAUGGGCUUAGUUGCUCCGCGGCAUGUGGGAUCUUCCCGGACCAGGGAUCAAACCCGUGUUCCCUGCAUUGGCAGGCAGAUUCUUUUUUUUUUUUUUGGCAGGCAGAUUCUUAACCACUGCACCACCAGCGAAGUCCCUCAACUCUGAAAUAUUUUUGCCUCUAGUUGUCCCAUGCAGACUAUUCAUAAAAUCUACUUCUUCAGUAACUACAAACUCUGCUUUGGUUUCUUGAAUAAACAGCAACAACUGAACAGUAUUGGUAACAUCUGUAGAUCCAUCAAGCCUAGGAAAACCACUCAAAACUGUUUACCAUGUUUUUUAAUUGAUGACUGAUGUUUCUCCCAAUGUUCUCAAGUCUUUGAGCAACCGUUCUCCCCAAAAGGCUAAUAGUCUUCAACAAAUUUUAGGUUUUGCAGACCAGGAGGCAGAAUCAAGUAAUUAUGUAGGUACUUACUUUCCACAUAUUUAUUUUUUUGUGAUGAAAAUAAAUUUAUUGAAUUUAUUUUUGGGGAAAAUGACCAUAUUUGUUAAAUGAGUGACCGCUGCUAUAGUUUACUCAUGUGUCAUUUGUGUACAAUCACCAAUUAGUGUGAAUGACAAGGUGUCCGAAUGACUUGGUUUCCUAUUAAUCCACUCACUAAGCCAACUUCAUGUUGAAGAAGAAAAAUCACCAAAAAUAGACCAAGAAAUGUCCACUGCUAGAGGGCUUUUUGUUUAUUUAAGUGUAAUCUUUCAAUGGAUUAGUAGUUCUCUAGCUUGGAGUCUCUAAUUUGAUAUAGCAACCAACUUAAUUUCUGUGCAGACCAUGAAUUAGCAAAUGUCUUCUAACCCGACAAUCACUUUAAAAGCAAACCCUUAGUUGAUCAUGAAAACACACCUUUAAACACAUGGCUCUAAACACCAUUGUUUUGCCCACUCUGAAAUGUAUUUUUUUCAUCCUGACACUGUCAUGUCAUAACUUUUAAAAUGAUAAUCUCAUUAUUGCUCAAUUGCACUGAUGCUUAGUAGGAGUAGCCUGUGGUCUAUUCUUCAUCAUGCAAGUUUAUAAAAAAGUAAGUUUGGAACUUCAAUCAUGGUCAGGGUCUUUCUUUCCCCCUCCACAAUUAAAUACAUCGGUAUUUUUGGAAGUACUGUCCAAAUUGUUUGACGUCCCCUCUGCAUUGACCCUGGAUAAGGAAGCGUGAAACUUGAUUGUUUUUCAGCAGAAGGACUUUAAUUGGUAAUUAUGGAGAGAUCAUUACUUCCUUUUCUCCUUGGACAGCUGACACAGGACAGGAAGGAAGGUUGGGGUUCCUUCUGAGACUCUAAAGAUCCUUUUCAAAAAGCCCAUUCCAUUCGCAUUUCUUAGCGAAUAAGCUCAUCCGGUCUCCACACUUUAUAAAGUUCUCCUUUACACACCCAUCUUAUCACCCGAGUCAUCCGGUAGAUUUAGGAUUCUUAUUCCCAAGCGGCUAGUAAGGCCUCAGGCCAGGUCUUUGGGUGCUGUCUGUUUUUUUCAUGAGAGUCACUUUGAUAGGAGAAAGGGAUUGGGGAAAGACACCUGAGUCUGGUGAGGCACAUUAAGGAUGCUGACCACACACCUCACCUGCUGUACUGAGACAGAGGGGACCUGGGAUCCUUUGCUGCAGUGCUUGCACCUGCAAACAUUUCCUCCGCAACAGAAUACAAAGAAACUAUAAGGAACUAAAAAUGACUGCAUGCAUGUGGCA
Long non-coding RNA from Globicephala melas (long-finned pilot whale), 5783 nucleotides. RefSeq lists it as uncharacterized. The record is from RefSeq and is a predicted model, not a curated record. NCBI's taxonomy places the organism in Eukaryota, Metazoa, Chordata, Mammalia, Artiodactyla, Delphinidae.